UACGGGGGGGGCAAGCGUUGUUCGGAAUUACUGGGCGUAAAGGGUCUGUAGGUGGCUUGCUAAGUCAGACGUGAAAUCCCUCAGCUUAACUGGGGAACUGCGUCUGAGACUGGCGAGCUUGAGGGCAGGAGAGGAACGCGGAAUUCCAGGUGUAGCGGUGAAAUGCGUAGAUAUCUGGAGGAGCACCGGUGGCGAAGGCGGCGUUCUGGACUGCAUCUGACACUGAGGCACGAAAGCGUGGGGAUCAAACAGG
Molecule: ribosomal RNA, 253 nt
Filed under: uncultured bacterium
Lineage: Bacteria
Description: partial 16S ribosomal RNA
Rfam family: Bacterial small subunit ribosomal RNA
Source: RNAcentral